Molecule: long non-coding RNA, 603 nt
Filed under: Haliotis rufescens (red abalone)
Lineage: Eukaryota; Metazoa; Mollusca; Gastropoda; Lepetellida; Haliotidae
Description: uncharacterized LOC124136967, transcript variant X2
Source: RNAcentral
GCUAUAGAUCCGUCUAACACUGAUCACCAACAGUUAAAGAUCAGCAGUAAGUGAGUGUAUCUCCACUUUCACUUAUCAAAGAGUACACGGGAAGCUGUCAAAUAACUCUGUUAUUUCUGCUAUUUUGUCCCGUACAUUCGUAAGGAAGCACAGUCAGCAAUGCGAUAUAUUCUCCUAGCUGUGGUGGUCCUAAUGAUACUGGUGGACCAAACCAAUGGCUUACGAUGCCAACGGUGCAAAGCCCAGAAAUGUGUGAAGCCUAGGGGAUGCAUAAGAAGGGACUACGUAAAAGACCUCUGCAAUUGCUGUGAUGUAUGUCCCAUUGAAUUCGGGCAACCUUGCUCUGGACUGAAACCAAAGUGCGCAGGGAAUAUGUGGUGUAUCAAGAUUGAGGAGAAUCACGCCGAGGCCAGGAAGAACUUAGUUUGGAGUGACAGAUUCCGUGGUGUGUGUGGAAGAAUUAGACUCCCAAGAAUGCAAAGACCUGCUUGGUAAAGUUGAAUCCAGUUCUUGGGCAAUAUGGAAGGACCGUCUUACCAUGUAAACAACACACUACUAAAUAUUGAACGAAAAUAUUCAGUAAACUAUUUGAGAAUCUCUCAA